CCCUUUGCGGCAUCCUAUACAUGCAAGUCGAGCGGACAGAUGGGAGCUUGCUCCCUGAUGUUAGCGGCGGACGGGUGAGUAACACGUGGGUAACCUGCCUGUAAGACUGGGAUAACUCCGGGAAACCGGGGCUAAUACCGGAUGGUUGUCUGAACCGCAUGGUUCAGACAUAAAAGGUGGCUUCGGCUACCACUUACAGAUGGACCCGCGGCGCAUUAGCUAGUUGGUGAGGUAACGGCUCACCAAGGCGACGAUGCGUAGCCGACCUGAGAGGGUGAUCGGCCACACUGGGACUGAGACACGGCCCAGACUCCUACGGGAGGCAGCAGUAGGGAAUCUUCCGCAAUGGACGAAAGUCUGACGGAGCAACGCCGCGUGAGUGAUGAAGGUUUUCGGAUCGUAAAGCUCUGUUGUUAGGGAAGAACAAGUGCCGUUCAAAUAGGGCGGCACCUUGACGGUACCUAACCAGAAAGCCACGGCUAACUACGUGCCAGCAGCCGCGGUAAUACGUAGGUGGCAAGCGUUGUCCGGAAUUAUUGGGCGUAAAGGGCUCGCAGGCGGUUUCUUAAGUCUGAUGUGAAAGCCCCCGGCUCAACCGGGGAGGGUCAUUGGAAACUGGGGAACUUGAGUGCAGAAGAGGAGAGUGGAAUUCCACGUGUAGCGGUGAAAUGCGUAGAGAUGUGGAGGAACACCAGUGGCGAAGGCGACUCUCUGGUCUGUAACUGACGCUGAGGAGCGAAAGCGUGGGGAGCGAACAGGAUUAGAUACCCUGGUAGUCCACGCCGUAAACGAUGAGUGCUAAGUGUUAGGGGGUUUCCGCCCCUUAGUGCUGCAGCUAACGCAUUAAGCACUCCGCCUGGGGAGUACGGUCGCAAGACUGAAACUCAAAGGAAUUGACGGGGGCCCGCACAAGCGGUGGAGCAUGUGGUUUAAUUCGAAGCAACGCGAAGAACCUUACCACGUCUUGACAUCCUCUGACAAUCCUAGAGAUAGGACGUCCCCUUUCGGGGGCAGAGUGACAGGUGGUGCAUGGUUGUCGUCAGCUCGUGUCGUGAGAUGUUGGGUUAAGUCCCGCAACGAGCGCAACCCUUGAUCUUAGUGCCAGCAUUCAGUUGGGGCACCUCUAGUGACUGCCGGUGACAACGGAGAGGUGGGAUGACGUCAUCAUCAUGCCCGUAUGACCUGGCUACACACAGGUGCCUUACCAAUGGGGAACCAGGA
RNAcentral lists this ribosomal RNA (1221 nucleotides) under Bacillus amyloliquefaciens. RNAcentral describes it as "bacterial SSU rRNA". It matches the Rfam family "Bacterial small subunit ribosomal RNA", at positions 34 to 1255 of the family's 1533-position model. Lineage: Bacteria; Bacillati; Bacillota; Bacilli; Caryophanales; Bacillaceae. The record is from RNAcentral.